Molecule: long non-coding RNA, 199 nt
Filed under: Elaeis guineensis (African oil palm)
Lineage: Eukaryota; Viridiplantae; Streptophyta; Magnoliopsida; Arecales; Arecaceae
Description: long non-coding RNA (EGUI_LNC058301)
Source: RNAcentral
UUAUUCAUGAAAUCAAAAGAAGUACUUGAAAGAAAAGGGACAAGUUUCAAACACUUGUAAGAGCAAUGUCCUAACUGAGCAUGCCAGAGAUAAACCGAAACAUUGACUUUAUUUGCCCAUGCAAGACUUAAUUGUCAAGCCUUUGAAGUAGUAAACACCAUCUUGGAGUUCACCCAAUCCAAUUAGCUUCCAUGUGGCA